GAUGAACGCUGGCGGCGUGCCUAAUACAUGCAAGUCGAGCGAAUGGAUUAAGAGCUUGCUCUUAUGAAGUUAGCGGCGGACGGGUGAGUAACACGUGGGUAACCUGCCCAUAAGACUAGGAUAACUCCGGGAAACCGGGGCUAAUACCGGAUAACAUUUUGAACCGCAUGGUUCGAAAUUGAAAGGCGGCUUCGGCUGUCACUUAUGGAUGCACCCGCGACGAAUUAGCUAGUUGGUGAGGUAACGGCUCACCAAGGCAACGGUGCGUAGCCGACCUGAGAGGGUGAUCGGCCACACUGGGACUGAGACACGGCCCAGACUCCUACGGGAGGCAGCAGUAGGGAAUCUUCCGCAAUGGACGAAAGUCUGACGGAGCAACGCCGCGUGAGUGAUGAAGGCUUUCGGGUCGUAAAACUCUGUUGUUAGGGAAGAACAAGUGCUAGUUGAAUAAGCUGGCACCUUGACGGUACCUAACCAGAAAGCCACGGCUAACUACGUGCCAGCCGCCGCCGUAA
This 515-nucleotide ribosomal RNA is filed under the name uncultured bacterium. RNAcentral describes it as "partial 16S ribosomal RNA". It matches the Rfam family "Bacterial small subunit ribosomal RNA", at positions 28 to 523 of the family's 1533-position model. The record is from RNAcentral.